This 1092-nucleotide long non-coding RNA is filed under the name Serinus canaria (Common canary). RNAcentral describes it as "lncRNA (ENSSCAG00000007467.1)". The record is from RNAcentral. Lineage: Eukaryota; Metazoa; Chordata; Aves; Passeriformes; Fringillidae.
AAUUUUUUUUGGCCAUUUUAAUUUUUAAAAUUUUUCUUGGUCAUUUAAUUUUUUUUCGUAUUUUUUUGCUAAUUUAAUUUUUUUUUAGUAUUUUUUUGGCAAUUUAAUUUUUUUAUAUAUAUUUCUUUGGACCAUUUAAAAAUAUUUAAAAUUUUUUGCCAUUUAAAAAUUAUUUUAGUUUUUUUUUGGCCUCUUAAAAUAUUUUAUAUUUUUUGUGUCCAUUAAAAUUUUUUUAAAUUUUUUUUUGGGCAUUUAAAAAUUUAUUUACUAUUUUUUUGUCCAUUUAAAAAUUAUUUUAUGGUUUUUUUUGGCCAUUUAAUAUUUUUUAAAAUUUUUUUUUGGCCAUUUAAAUUUUUUUUUAAUUUUUUUUUGGCCAUUUUAAAAUUUUUUAAGUAUUUUUUGGGCUAUAUUUGAAUUUUUUAAUAUUUUUUCUAACACCUCCGAGACUCAUUCUUUCCAACCCCCCGAGCCUGCAGCUCGGGUUUAUUUUCCGAGGCGAUUUUUGGGAUGGUUUCAGCAGUUUCUGCCUCCGAUUUCCCAGAACAAGGAGCUUUUUCAGCCCUUUUUCACUUUAUGGCCUCAAUAAUUCCCUCGCUGCCUCCUCACUCCAGAAGUGUCGGCAAUUCCAGCUCCGGGUGGAAAAAUAAAGGGAAAAAAAAAUAUUAAAAAAAUAGAAAUAUUUAAAAAAAAAAAAUAAGAGUUGAAUUAUUUAAUUGGAGGGAACUUUGCCAGCCCUUCACAAACCUCGCUCUGUUCCGCCGGCCCGGCCAAAUUUUGGGUGUUGAUUGAAUCCCCUCAUCCCCCCCCGCGCUGCCGGCCAGGGAAACCUGGAGGCAAAAACAGCCCCGAGAACUCGAGCCAGCCCCAAAUCCUCCUGCCCGUCCUGAUUUUCCUCCUCCCCAUGGCGAUUUUCCUCCUCCCUAUCGCGAUUUUCCUCCUCCUGAUCUCGAUUUUCCUCCUCCCUAUCGCGAUUUUCCUCCUCCCCAUCCUGAUUUUCCUCCUCUCGAUCUCGAUUUUCCUCCUCUCGAUCUCGAUUUUCCUCCUCCUCAUCUCAAUUUUCCUCCUCUUCAUCUGGAUUUUCCUCCUCCCCAU